RNAcentral lists this long non-coding RNA (564 nucleotides) under Anas platyrhynchos platyrhynchos (common mallard). Its description in RNAcentral is "lncRNA (ENSAPLG00000016705.1)". Lineage: Eukaryota; Metazoa; Chordata; Aves; Anseriformes; Anatidae. The record is from RNAcentral.
UGUGUGUGGUAAACAUGCUUCUUUUUCUUUAUUUAUUUGUUUUUAUUAUUAUUGUAGGAAUGUUUUUGCAGUUGAGAUUUUGGGAUUGCCUUUUCUCUGGGACUGAGUUCAAAUGCAACCACGGAGCUGAAACAGUGCAUCAGUUCCCACUAGUACUGCAGACAUAAGAAUUCAGAAUAACACUUCUACGCCUACAAAUACAUAACAACGGAGUUUGGGGUCAACUACAGAACCAAAAGGAAAACACCACUGAUGGGAUCCUUCACAGCUGAAUUUAGUCGGCUGCAACAUGGACACUGGCAGCUCAUUUGUUCCUUGCUUAUACCAACAUGGAUGUCAUUUUCAAGCUAUGCAGUCGGAUAGUCUGGCAAGAAACUGGACAGAAUUACCUCUUUGUUAGCUCUUUUAACAGAACUUCUAGUGUUUCUGGGGAUUUCUUCAUUUGUAUGGAGAGCCAGACACCAUAUCAGAAGUCACCUGAUAAGAGCUGGCAGUGGAUUUGAUGAAAGUUUGUGAACCUGGAAAUAUUUUGAAUAAAACAUUUCAAGUAAGCUGAAAUUAACA